GACGAACGCUGGCGGCGUGCUUAACACAUGCAAGUCGAACGGAAAGGCCCUGCUUUUGUGGGGUGCUCGAGUGGCGAACGGGUGAGUAACCCGUGAGUAACCUGCCCUUGACUUUGGGAUAACUUCAGGAAACUGGGGCUAAUACCGGAUAGGAGCUCCUGCGGCAUGGUGGGGGUUGGAAAGUUUCGGCGGUUGGGGAUGGACUCGCGUGUUAUCAGCUUGUUGGUGGGGUAGUGGCUUACCAAGGCUUUGACGGGUAGCCGGCCUGAGAGGGUGACCGGCCACAUUGGGACUGAGAUACGGCCCAGACUCCUACGGGAGGCAGCAGUGGGGAAUAUUGCACAAUGGGCGGAAGCCUGAUGCAGCAACGCCGCGUGCGGGAUGACGGCCUUCGGGUUGUAAACCGCUUUCGCCUGUGACGAAGCGUGAGUGACGGUAAUGGGUAAAGAAGCACCGGCUAACUACGUG
RNAcentral lists this ribosomal RNA (468 nucleotides) under uncultured bacterium. RNAcentral's name for it is "partial 16S ribosomal RNA". It matches the Rfam family "Bacterial small subunit ribosomal RNA", at positions 28 to 507 of the family's 1533-position model. The record is from RNAcentral.